AGAACGAACGCUGGCGGCAGGCUUAACACAUGCAAGUCGAGCGCCUCGCAAGAGGAGCGGCAGACGGGUGAGUAACACGUGGGAAUCUACCCAUCCUUACGGAACAACUCCGGGAAACUGGAGCUAAUACCGUAUACGCCCUUCGGGGGAAAGAUUUAUCGAGGAUGGAUGAGCCCGCGUUGGAUUAGCUAGUUGGUGGGGUAAAGGCCUACCAAGGCGACGAUCCAUAGCUGGUCUGAGAGGAUGAUCAGCCACAUUGGGACUGAGACACGGCCCAAACUCCUACGGGAGGCAGCAGUGGGGAAUAUUGGACAAUGGGCGCAAGCCUGAUCCAGCCAUGCCGCGUGAGUGAUGAAGGCCCUAGGGUUGUAAAGCUCUUUCACCGGAGAAGAUAAUGACGGUAUCCGGAGAAGAAGCCCCGGCUAACUUCGUGCCAGCAGCCGC
Molecule: ribosomal RNA, 444 nt
Filed under: uncultured bacterium
Lineage: Bacteria
Description: SSU rRNA
Rfam family: Bacterial small subunit ribosomal RNA
Source: RNAcentral